UCACAAUUAAGUAUCUUCUUUGUUGAACGUUGUGUCGGGCGGUAAGCUAUGUUCAAUCUUCUUCAUUUGUUCACAGCAUAGUCUUACUGUCGAAGUUUUGCUAAGCUGUUGGAGUUCUAUUGUCUCUUUUUCAAAAUAAACCGUGAAAGCGUGGCCUAUCGAUCCUGUUGACUCUAAACAUUUUAAGCAAGAGGUGUCAGAAAAGUUACCACAGAAAUAACUGGCUUGUGGCGGCCAAGCGUUCGUAGCGACGUCGCUUUUUGAAUCUUCGAUGUCGGCUCUUUCUAUCAUUGCGAUGCAGCUGUCGCCCGCUAACAGGGGACGUGAGCUGGGUUUAGACCGUCGUGAAACAAAUUAGUUUUAUCCUACUGAUGACUGGUUGUUGCAAUGAUAAUCCUGCUCAGUACGAGAGGAACCGCAGGUUCGGACAUUUGGCACACGUGCUUGGUCGAGCGGCCAAUGGUGCGAAGCUACCAUCCGUGGGACUAUGACUGAACGCCUCUAAGUCAGCAUCCCGUCCAGAUCUGCAACGAUACCUUGGCGCCUCCUUGUUGUUCGGCAAAAACACGAUCAGCUUCACCGCAGAGCCGUGCUAUGUCACACUGAUGGAGCCUUGCGCCGAACUAGCGAAGUAACUACGCUAGCUCGGCCGGCUUCUGGUCACACACCAGAUAAACGUGAAGGCGAGAAAUCGUCGGUAGACGACCUUAGUACCGGUCGGGGUAUCUGAUGAGACUCAUCCUUUGACCGGAAGAUUU
Molecule: non-coding RNA, 758 nt
Filed under: Hypsibius dujardini
Lineage: Eukaryota; Metazoa; Tardigrada; Eutardigrada; Parachela; Hypsibiidae
Description: Eukaryotic large subunit ribosomal RNA
Rfam family: Eukaryotic large subunit ribosomal RNA
Source: Rfam by way of RNAcentral